GGAGGAGAUUUUUCAUUGCUGUCUGUCCAUGUGUCCACGUGUGGCACAUGAAUGGGCUCUGUCUCACGUUUGAGUAUGUGGAUUUUGCUCACUCGGGGAAAUAAUUUCUCAUGUUUGCAUUUACUGACUAAAUCACACAUCUUUCUUUCAGAAAUCGUUUCAGGGGCACAAACAGUUUAUCUUCUUUGGAGGUAUUUUCUUUUCCAACUCUUUGUAUUUCUUUCUUUUUCCUCUACCAGUUGGCUGAAGGUAAGCUGCUGCUUUAACCUUCACUGAUAACUGUUUUUUCCCCCACUUAGCUUCUUCUCCUCUUACCACUUUUACCUCCUUUCUUUCUGGGUGCACUUGUAUGUACUGAUUCCUUUCUUUGUCUGGGUGGCUGACUGGGUCCAUAAGGCAAACAGGAGGAAUUCAAGUUCAUGUGUUUGUUGUUAGUAAUGCUAUUCUGUUUUUCUAUCUAAUAGUUGGGGGAGUUUGCGUUAACGUUGCCAUAUUUUCCACUCCAGAUGUUUACAGGUUUUUUUUCUUGUUUUUUUUUUGUGAGCGAUUUGUUGAGGAUUUGAAGCUGAUUUAGUAUUGUGAUGUGGGUCGACUGUUUUCUUGCUUUGUUUUGUUUUUUCUAUGCAAGAGUGAUGGAUCCUUCCACUUGAUUGCAGGCAUGAGUAAUUGUAGGCUGGAUGUUACAGCUUUAGAAAUCAGUGGAUCAGAUUUUUUGCAGAGCUUAAAGGGACAGCUUACCCCACAGUGCCAAAUGUUUACCUUUGACCUGCACCAUAUAAUUAUAUAUAUCUUUUUCCUUUUUGAGGUUGUAUUUGUCAUAGAAGGAGCUUUUUCCCCCACCACCAAACUAUACCCACCAACGUGUCACUCUGCAGAAGAAGGUUUGUGGAUUUUGAGCAACCAGGUCAUGAUUUCCAUUGUGUUUAAGAGAGAGCAAACAUUUCAAGAGCCUUUCUUUUCUUUUUCCAAUACUUGGCAACUCAAACCUAGACUUUCUAUCUUUCCUAUCUUGACUUAAUUUCUAAAUCCCAGUCAUAAUGUUUAUCCAAACCCAGUUUAUACACGGCACAAACAAAACACAGCUGUGAAUGCUAUUUUUUUAAAGCAAUUAAAAAAAAUAUUGGCACGAGUCAUUAAGCGUGUCAGAGCAGAUUUAAUAUUAGUGCAAUCAACAGCACUGCUUGCACCUUCUGCACACACUUAUCCUGUAAAAUAAGCCUGAACAUAUCACCAGAACUUAAACUGGUCACUGUGAAAAAGCUUUUCAGACCUGCAGUCUGUGAAUGCACAAGCAGUCAUUUUCUUUUUCUUUCUUUCUUUUAGAACAAUUACAAUUUCAAUAAAACAAACAGAAAAUGGAAAACACAAAUAAAAAUGGUCUGUACAACACAAAGAGAAGGUGUUGGAGAGGUAGCAGGAAAGAAGCAGUGGCUUAUCCAGUGCUGCCCCCAGAUAAAUACUCUUUUAUAUCACCUACAUAAU
Molecule: long non-coding RNA, 1482 nt
Organism: Astatotilapia calliptera (eastern happy)
Lineage: Eukaryota; Metazoa; Chordata; Actinopteri; Cichliformes; Cichlidae
Source: Ensembl